GGGUUCAACAAGAAGCGGCAGCUGGGUUCGCAGUUGGCGACGAGCUUGCCGGUGGCGCUGUCGUAGGUCUCCAUGGUCUCCACCAGGAAGUCUGGCUCGGGGUUUUCGAUGAGCGGGUCAACGCAGCAGGUCGGCUGCCAGAACCACCCUGGCUGGCAGCGAGUCCCCGGCCACUGCAGGAGUCACGAUCCGUUAGACUUCAUUAACAGUUUACCGUACAAGAAAGGCUUUCUGUAAAGCCGAGAGAGAGAGAGAGAGAGAGGAAUAGGUACUAUGAGAGACAGGAUCAUGUAGUCGUAUGAAGCAGCUGCUAGCGCACAAGAGGCGGCGCACAAGAGGAAGCAGAACGUGGGAAGAGCCUUUGAGCCAGCCAUUCUGCAGAGGUGGAGAGGAUGAUCGGGGGAGAGACGCUUCGUGAGGUGAUGAGUCUGAUGGCUCUAUAUAAGCACUACAUUGAAGACACACCCACCUACUGAUAAUUGUUGGACUAAUAAUGCACCGCGAUUGCUGUUAGGGGGGUCUUAAAAUAAUGCACUUCGCAUAAAAUGUCGUACACCAACAUGAAACAUGAGGGACAUUCCCGCAUAUCGCAAGCAUAGUGGGUUGCAAAAUGCAAGGAAAGAAAGUAAGGAAUUUAUUUGAUUAUGGUCUCUCAUAGCUAUAAGAUUAUGGUCUCUCGUAGCUAUAUGGACUAUGUGACAUCGUCAAACCACGAUGUCACCUCCACCCUCCACCCCACCAGCCACUGGACCCUUUCCAUACAUUACAAUCAUUAAUCUUGAUGGAGGUGAACGAGAGAUAAUCAUAAGUAUUUUUCCUCUCUUCUCUUUUGUAUGACUCAUCGUAUUAGAUAUUAUCGUACGCUUCACGCACAUAUUGUUUUACUCACCUGAUCGAGCAACGAUAAUAGUGUGAUAGAAGCGAGCAAGGGAUACUCCUUCGACUAAGGGGCUUGAAAUCUAAGAGAUAGAAAAGGGAUUGAGGAUAAAGACACGAGCAAGAGAUAAUAUAAUUUUAUGACGAAUAAGAGUUAAAGAGUAAGAUGAGAAUGACUAUAUGAUGCGAAUAAAACAAAAAAGUGACAUUAGUAGAAUAAAAAGUAAAAAANNNNNNNNNNNNNNNNNNNNNNNNNNNNNNNNNNNNNNNNNNNNNNNNNNNNNNNNNNNNNNNNNNNNNNNNNNNNNNNNNNNNNNNNNNNNNNNNNNNNCGUGUUAUUAUCUAUCGGCAAACAAUUGACUUGAUAAUUGAUAAGGCAUAUAUUUAGGAUCUCGGCCACGUCGCGAUCCACGCCACGUCACACUCCUGCAGAUUCAACACAAGGGUUGCCUUCCUUCCACGUCGAGUUGGAGCUCGUAUAGGGAGGCACCCUCUCAACAAGUCCCUUCCCAGAAAGCUUGGGACGUUGUCCCAUGGCGUCGUUCCGCGCAUACCGGGUGACGAUUACACGAAGGUACGAUCUUGGGGGUAUCGAUCGUCAAGUCAAAUCCGCGUAUAAUCGAUCCUCGGACAAUAGUAUAAAAUCCCUUGACCGGCAUCUGGCUAGGAGACAAAGAACAGAAGAAAAAAAUCACUGACUUAGUCUACGAUGGGCCAAAGUCGGGAAUCUCCAGACCAGGGCGUGUGUGCAGGAACGUGGCCACCCCCGAACUAGCUCAAUCCCUCAUUGGAGAUGCGACCAUCCUGGCCGUUGAUCCAGACGCGACCAUCCCGACCCCUGAUCCAACUCGGCCUCGAUGCUUCUUCCAAUCGAUCGAGAGGCGCACUCCCGAACGUCGAAAACUCUGGACAUCGACAUGUGAACCAAAACGUGCCGACUCCUCGACCACGGCACGUAAGUUCACCAACAAAAAUAACGACGCAUUGUUGAAACAUUGAUUAUAAUCAAAGAAGAACGUUCUCAAAAUUAUUUUAAAAAAUAUUUUAUUUCUACCUAAUUAGUCAAUUAUUUAAAAUUUUUUUGAUGAUCAAUUCAUUUUCACUAACUCAGUAAAAUAUAAUAUUUGAAGAAAAUUAUACUGAAGAUAGAAUGUAAUAAAUGUAAUUAUAUAUAUAUAAUUAAUAUUUUUAAAAUAUAUUAAAUCGGAUAAUUUUACGGAAUAAGGUUUUGAGUCGUUCGAUGUAUGACUCUGUUAUAUCAAUAUAAGAUGAUAUUUUAGAUAUUAAAAAUAUAUACGAGACAACAUUUUGGUGCAGUUAUAUAUGUUUAAGAAAGACCACUUUUAUUACUGCAGGUGUGAAGAAGAUGCGACUCUACAACUCGGGAGUAAAAGACGAAGCGACAGCUCACAUCACCAUAAGUGCAAGCAUGUGGAUCACGCCAAGCAGAAGAAGACAGGCUUAAAGCAGUUCCUCCAUCACAGUGCCAUCUCGUCGCCGGAGGGCAACUCGAUCACUGUCUUGGAAACGGCGUCGUCUUCACGGCCUUGCAGUGGGUACGACACAGGGGGGAACUUGACCGUGUCGCCGCAGUUACUCUCCCUGCCGUUGGGGCAGCCGAUGAUCGACCUCCCGUCGCUGGAGACGCAGACGCGGAUCUGGUAGAGGUAGUCUUCGUAGAAGAAAGGCCAGAGAAUGUAAUUCCUGGUGCACACCACCGUGAACGAGAACCCGAUCCUGGGCACCAACGCGUCGUUGAUGUCGUCCAGGCUGUAGCUCUUCGUCGCGUGCGGUAUGAUCCCACUCGAGCCCAGGUUGACGAGGGGGUCCACCUUCUUCCUGAGUUGAAGCGCCCGGUCGAAGUAGAGCGACUGGUUGAGGCUGGAGCAAGUGCCGUAGGUGCACCACACGUCCUUCCAGUGGGGCAUCCCGCUGUUGCUGGGACAGGUCAGGUUGGCGUAGUACGUGUACAAGUUGUCGAGCAUGUUCACCAGCUGUCCAAACAAGACAAAGCGGUCAUCAUCGACAUCUCGGCCGAGUUAGCUCGGGUGGAGGAGGCUAACGAGACUCACCGGAAGUAUCUUGAAGACGCAGCUUCUGCUGCAGCCGGUGACCGGUUUACCGGUGGCGCUGUCGUAGGUUUCCAGGGCUUGGACGAGGAAGUCCGCCGCCGGCUCGCCAUUCGUCGGCAUACAGCACUUCCCUGUCGGUUGCGAGCUAGCACAGUAGCUUCCUGGCCACUGCAGUGAGAAGGACAUCAUACCAUCACCCAUCUUGCCAUCGAUGGUUACCACUACUGCAGGAAACCAGAACCAAGUAGAGGGUAACUAUACCAUAAGUUUCAAGAUCAGGUAGUCGGGCUUCGAAGCUGCCCUUGCCGCCGGAGAGGAAGACAAGCAUAACAGCAAGACAAGCAAGCAGAUCCCAGGAAGAGCCUUGAGGAUAGCCAUUCUGCAGGAGCUGUCGAGUUGCCUUGGUGAUGGUGGAUAAUAUAAGCCCAUCGUGGAACACACUGGUUGUGGCCUGGUGGUGGCGGGAUCCAUGGCAGCUCUAUCAAGAAAUGGCUGUCCUCGUCUCAGCCAUCAGCCUCUCCCCACGAGUUUCACGUGGCUUGCAGAUCUCAUCGCUUUCGAGAAAUGGUCGCCGUGCUGUUCACCACCAAUUUAAUGAUGACAUUAAAAUAAUGGCACAGUACAAGAUCAGAUGAUGUUCCAUGUGACUGACUUCUUUUAUUUGGACUCUCUCUCUCUCUCAUGAUUCGGGAACGGACAAGGAGAUGGAAGCAUUGAUUACAGUCGAGCCACCCAAACAACACCCCACUCCUCGCCAUCAAAUGUUCUUAUCUUCACAGACCGAACAUCAUUGAAGGGACUAAUAAGAAGAAGAUGGAUAGCAACCUGAUCGAAACAAGAACAAUGUUGAGAUGGGGAGGGGUUACGAACCGGUUCUGAGAAAGAUUUCUAGAUGUGAUUUCCUCUAAAGAAAUCAUGCAUUAAUUUGUUCUUGACCAAGUACAACAUGACUCGGAGAUUGGUAGACAAGAAAAAUGUAUUCAGAUCGUUCAUAAUUUCAUUUAAGAAAACCGAUCUAGAAGGAUUUUUUUUUGCGACAAUUAGGGAUUGAAAAUAGUCACGAUUAAGCCACUAAGUAGGGGUGAUGGUAAUUUCAGAACGGUCAAUUUUGAUUUCCGAAAUCAGCAACCGAGAAAAUAAAGAGUUAAAAAUAAUUAUAAUGAAUAUCAAAGUCUUUCCUCCAAUUACUAUAUGUUAGGAUAAAAAAUAUCGUUGAUGCGUGUAUUAGCAUGAUGUGAUCCUGAUCCGCAUACGAGGAGUCGAUAGAACAAGAUUUCUUCGAUCUCGUUCAUAUACAAAGACUAAGAUUGAAAGGGAUUUUCCGAGUUGAUUUAUCUAAUGCUUAACUUAGCACUUAGUUGCAUACAAAGACUUAUUUUUUUUUUAAUGAAGAUCCUAUAGAGAAAAAGUUCGAACUCAACUAUCUUUUUUAUUUUUAUGAUAUAUUUUUGUGAAUAUUUUUAUAGGAAAACUAGUUUAUAAUCAACUCAAACUACCUUUUAAUAUUCCUGAAAUAUUCCUACAAAUAUUUUGUAAGAAAGUCUGAAUUGUCUUAUGGGAAUAAUUCACGAUUAGCUAGUUUUUAAUUGAUCUGAAUUAUCUUCAAUUUUUUAUGAAUAUUUAAAUAUUUCAUCGAGGAGGUAGCUUAACAAAUCGGUAAUUGACCCGAGCUAUCUUUUGAGUUCGAAUAGAAAAUAUUGGCUUAAUAUGACAUUGACGUUACGAACGAUGACUAACCAAUUUAAUAUUUUCUUUCGCUAUGUGUAGUCAAACACUAUGUGAGUUGUGUUCAAACCACAAACUCUACGUAGCUAAAGAAAAAAAAAAAGGUAAGAUUAUUUUGUAUGAUCUAUAUUGAUCAAACGAUAAACAAGAAAAAAAUAGAAAAAGGUAAGAUAAGAUUAUUUUUUAUGGUCUCAUCGAAUAAAGUUUAUGUCGUCGAAACAAUUUCUAUGGUUACAAGAAUAGUGGAAGUCUCGUCAAGAGGAAACAAAAGAAUAUGGAAUAUGUGGAUCUCCUUUUUCCACGAAGGAGAGAUGGCAGAAGAAUUUUGUGUUCGAAUCCCAUCAUUUAUUUUGUAUCAAAAAAAGACACUAAUUCAACGAAAAGCUGAACACAAAUGAUGGAGAGAUGGAGUUUAGAUAUCAAACGUAUGGGAAUUUUACCUUCAUUAAGUAAAAUCCCAACUUGUUCAUGACAGGUAAUAUGCUCUGUUGUUAUUUGAUUAAUCUUAGAGACAGAGAUCAUAAAACAACAUCUUAUUCCAGUAGAUCGCAAGACGAUGAUGACAUCCUACACACAGGCAAUUCAUCAUGUUUGAGUGCCAAGAUGAUGAUGAUGACAUCCGCAUGACAAGAGGGCAGUAAUCCGUGGAUCGAUCACUGAGUCAUCGCCUUGUCCGAUGGCAACUUGAUGUGGUCGACCGCCGGAUGGCGCGGGCGCCCGAGCAUGUCGUCCGUGAACGGGUAGAACUUGACCUUGCUGCCGCAGUUGCUCUUCCUGGCGAAGGGACAACCGAUGAGAGACUUGCCGUCGGCGGAGACGCAGAUGCGGACUCUGGAGAGCAGGUAUUCCCGACUCAGCACGCCCAUCUCCGUGGUGCACUCCACCACCGCCGAGAACCCGAUCUUGGGCACCAGCGCGUCCUCGAUGUCCUCCAAACUGUAGCUCUUCGUCUCCGACGGGAUGAUGGCUUGAGAUCAGGAACAGAUCCAUGCGUUAGCUGCAGACACUUGUAAGCUCGAGGUCGGCGUGCAGGGCAGGGCUGCUUACCUUUGGAGCCGAGAGCACGGAGGAUGUCCACUCGAGCCCGGAGCUGAAGCGCCCGGCCGAAGUAAUUCACCUCGCUGAGGCUGGUACAGUUGCCGUAGGUACACCAGGCGGCCUUCCACACCUGCUUCCCGUUCUGGGCUGGGCAGCUCAAGCUGGGCCAGUAGGCGUUCAAGUCGUCCAACAGAUCGACAAGCUGUGGCAUGCGCAGAGUGAUCAGUGUGGGUCGGGAGCAGCGGAGAUCAUCGACUGCAUAGAUCCAAUCUGGCCUAUUACCGGGUUUAUCAAGAAGCGGCAGUUGGGUUCGCACUUGGCGACGAGCUUGCCGGUGGCGCUGUCGUAGGUCUCCAUGGUCUCCACCAGGAAGUCUGGCUCGGGGUUGCCGAUGAGCGGGUCAACGCAGCAGGUCGGCUUCCCGUUCCACCCUGGCUGGCAGCGAGUCCCCGGCCACUGCAGGAGUCACGAUCCAUUAGACUUCAUUAGCAAUUCACAGUAGGACUCAUCGAUUGCACAAGAAGGGCUUUCUGUAAAGCCGAAACAAAAGAGAGAGAGGAAUAGGUACUCUGAGAGACAGGAUCAUGUAGUCGUAUGAAGCAGCUGCUAGCGCACAAGAGGCGGCGCACAAGAGGAAGCAGAACGUGGGAAGAGCCUUUGAGCCGGCCAUUCCGCAGAGGUGGGAAGGAUGAUCGGGGGAGAUGAUGAGUCUGAUGGCUCUAAAUAAGCACGAAGACACACCCACCCACCCACCGAUAAUUGUUGGGCUACAUCGAUAUUGUUCUCGUGAGUAUAAUAUAAUAUAAUAUAAUGCACCUCGAUUGCGGCAUGGGGGUCGUAAAAUAAUGCACUUCGCUUUAAAUUUCGUACACCAACGUGAAACACGUGGGACGUUCCCGCAUCCCGCAAUCGUAGUGGGUUGGAAAGUGCGAGGAAAAAAAGAAGGAUUUUAUUUGAUUAUGGUCUCUCAUAGCAUAUUAUACUCUUCAUCUAAAUUAGGGAUUAAAAGGCUUCGAGACCAAGCAAGUGAAUAAUAAUAAAAUAAUAUAUUAAAAAAUCGAUCAAGAAAAAAUCCGUAAAAUAUUUUAUUCAUCUUUGAACAUGCUUUCGACCAUGCAUUAUUGAAACAUAUUCGUCCAUUUGAAAUAUCAUAUCUUUAAUCGCAUAUUACAUAUCAUAUGAAUUGGAUAUGUGUACUACCAUUAUUUUCCUUAAAUAAUAAUUUAAAUUUAUUAAAUUAAAAUUUAUGCCUGUGGACAUUAUUGUGUGAUCGGAACUGAGAACGAAGACUCGAACAAUGCAAAGGUCCGUAAGGUCUCGCCGAAUCAUCUUCCUUUGUCUUCCCUUUUACGCCAUCGGCGGUACCGAUGCAUUCGAUCCGGAGCUGGGCCUUCUCCGCCCUGAUCCUGGCUGUCACCGUCCUCUUCUUCUUCUUCUUCGACUGGCCGUCUCCUCCUCUUCAAGAAAUAGCCGGAGAUAUUCCUGGAUCCUUGAAUGACAUCGCUGUGACGGUAGGCCAUGGCUUCGAUUUCUUUCUCUCCCCUUCCUCUUCCCUUACCUUCUUUUCCCUUAGGAUAGGACAUAUUUUGGCCUUAUAUGAACCACCGAUAGACGUUGCAGAUCGACACAACACCGUACGCCUCCAAAACCGUGGGGUGCAUGCCACGUCAAGAGCCAACGAUGCAAUUGUGCGGCUUGACCACCUCAAAAGCUGGGGGCGGUGCCGUCUGCUGCUAGGGCAGUGUCGUCUGACGCCCCUCGAGCACCCUCGAAGAUGUCAUCUUGUCAGAGAGGUUGUUCCGCCCCUAGAGUUAACGACCAUAUCGGACCAGGGCCCGACCAAUUACCGCACGCAGGUAUAAAUACCCCCGACCUGAUCCAAAAAAAAGGGAGAAAAGGAUGAGAGAUUUAGAAUGAAUCUAACUUGCUCGUCGGAGGGGCCAAAGUUGGGACUUACCCUACGAGGGUCUUUUUGCAGAGAGGUAGUCGUCGCUGAGACGCGAAUGUCGUCUUCACACGGACGGUGCCCGGUACGCAGAGGAGGGUGGCCCAACGAGUCGGACUCGACAAGUGUCAGCCCGCAUCUCCCAUCUCCAAGAGGCUUCCACACCACAAGGAGGAUCCCCAACCAUCCGAGGGGAUGAGAGGACGCAUCUUCUCAUGAACAAUGCUCAUAUCGGCCAACUUUGGAAAGCCGGCUCACAGCGAGGCUCAGGCCGACCUUGCCACCUCAACCGGCGCUCAACGCGUUUAAGGGGCGCAACCACUCAAACGAUAGUAAUUCCGCCAGAAGUUCCCGACGUCGGCAGGUGGGCCUAGUCAUGCUGACAUAUUAGUCACGACAUGUUUGUUCACUAACAUUUUGGCCCUAGAAGAAGGGCCCAUGUCGCGGGAAUAGCUGGCAAGAACGUGCCCUGGGAGGGAACCCCCGACCGACCUCCCUUUCGCUGAGCCAGAAGGACAACCCCUCUCUACCCCUAUGGACGGAGGGAUACCGAUUUCAACGCUUGAUCGUUACUGGCGCUUGUUCAACGACCCGGGACUAUCCCCCCCGGGGCUCACCCCGGGGGGCCCGGCUGUGAUGCCCGAGGCAUUCCUUAGCCUAACCAAGCAAGUAUAGACCAUGACAGGCAUGAUGCACUCACUCGCCCCGAUCACUCCCCAAAUCGGGCAGCCCUCGAUGCCCUCGACCGAUCCGACCCGGCAACCCCCGAACGGGGAACAGCUCGGGGUUGGGCCAGCCUCGUGGCGAGCAACGGACCCGAGGGGUCCUCCCGUGCAAAAUGCGCCCACAGCUUGCUGAGCCACCCCAUCUCAUCUAGAGCCCGAUACUAUAUCAUCUGACUCGGCGAACGACUCACUCAGAGCUCAGUUGUCCCGGGUCAAUCAGCACCUGGACGAGUUCCAGCGUGAGCUUUGGAGAUUGCGUAGUGAGCCUAGCGAGGGCGCUUUGGUUGGGUCCCUCUUUACCCAAGAAGUACAAGAUAAGCCGGUCCCCCUCAACUUCAGGUUCCCGACAUUAGAAACGUACGAUGGAGGCUCGAUCCCAUGGAGCAUGUCUUUGUAUUCCGGGCCUAGAUGGCCCUCUAUGGUGCCUCCGAUGUGCUGAUGUGCCGAGUGUUUCCGACCACUCUGCGUGGCCCGGCGUGGACAUGGUUCAGCCGGCUGUGUCAAGCUUCAGUCUCGUCCUUCGACCAGGUGGUCGAGGAAUUUGAGCAAAGCUUCCUCACCGGCGCACGGCCCAGGCCCUCCAUGGCCACUUUGCUUGCACUAUCUCAGCACGAGGACGAGUCGCUCUCUCAGUUCGUGGCACGGUUCACACUAAGAUCCGAGGUUUUUCAGAUACUCACCCUUCUCUAAUCUUGCAAGCCUUUAUGAUGGGUCUUAAACCUUUAAGGUUCUUAUGGUCGUUGAUCGAGAAGCCGCCAGCGACCAUCUCUGAGAUGCUUCUACGUGCCAACCAGUACAUUGCCGUCGAGGCUUUAGUGGCGGGGAGGCACGUGGAAGGCAAGAAGCUCAGGAUGGAGCUGUCUCGAGGAACGGCCUCGGCGUUCCCGACGCCUCCCCGCCGGGGGCUCAACCGACAAGAGCUGCUACUCCCAAGACCCCCACCUCUCCCCCUAAACACAUCCCGUUCCGAGAUCUUCCUCUAGAUCAAAGAGACGAGCCUCUUGCAGCAGCCUUGCCCUAUGAAGGCCGCCCACAGAGACCAAUCUAAAUACCGUGGGGAUCCGUCGGCACACCCCGGAGGUGGGGGAGAAGUGAUAGGGCAUAUUUUGGCUCUAGAUGAAUCACCAACAAAUGUCACAAACCAAUAGCCACGAACGCAAUGCCAUGCGCCACCAGAACCACGGGGUGCAUGCCACGUCAAGUUCGGUACUAUGUGAUUGUGCGACUUGACCACCCCAAGAGCUCGGGGCGGUGUCGUCUACUUUUGGGACAGUGCCGUCUGACGCCACUCAAGCACCCCCAAGGAUGCCAUCUCGUCAAAGAAGUUAUCCCACCCCCAUGAAAGUUAGCGGCCACGCCGAACUGAGGCACAACCAACUCUCGCACGCAAGUAUAAAUACCCCCGUCCGAUCCCGAUGAGAGAAGAAAAAAAGGAGGAAGAAAAAACAGGGGAAUCCGAACUAAUCUAACUUGCUUGUCGGUGGGGCCAAAGUCGAGAGACACUCGACGAAGACCGUUUUGCAGGGAGGUGAUCGCCACUGAGCUGCGAGCGUCUCCACCCUGAAGUUGUCACCUAAUGCGCAGAGGAGGGUGGUCCAGUGGUUCGGAUCCCAACCAGCGCCGGCCUGCAUCUCCCAUCUCAAGGGUGUGCCCACGUCGCGGGGAAAGAUUGCCAACUAUCCCGGGGAUGAGAGGACACAUCUCGCCAGAAGCGACGCUCAGGUCGGCUAGCUUUGGAGUGCUAACCCCCAGCCGCUCGCGAGGACCCGACCGACCCUACCGCCUCAACCCUCGCUCGUAACGCUCGAGAGGCGCAACCAUCUCAUCAUCCUACUCAUUCCACUAGAAGUUUCCGACGUCGGUCCGUGGACCAAACUGUGAUGUCUCAUCAGCCAUGGUACUUUUGUUCACUAACAGACAUCAAACAUAUGGGAAUUUUACCUUCAUUAAUUAAAAUCCCAACUUGUUCAUGACCGGUAAUAUGCUAUGUGAUUAUUUGAUUAAUCUUAGAGACAGAGAUCAUAAAACAUCAUCUUAUUCCAGCAUAUGGCAAGACGAUGAUGACAUCCUACACACAGGCAAAUCAUCGUGUUUUAGUGCCAAGAUGAUGAUGAUGAUAUCCGCAUGACAUCGUACACAUAUCGCCUUGUCCGAUGGCAACUUGAUAUGGCCGGCCGCCGGAUGGCGCGGGCGCCCGAGCAUGUCGUCCGUGAACGGGUAGAACUUGACCUUGCUGCCGCAGUUGCUCUUCCUGGCGAAGGGACAACCGAUGAUAGACUUGCCGUCGGCGGAGACGCAGAUGCGGACUCUGGAGAGCAGGUAUUCCCGACUCAGCACGCCCAUCUCCGUGGUGCACUCCACCACCGCCGAGAACCCGAUCUUGGGCACCAGCGCGUCCUCGAUGUCCUCCAAACUGUAGCUCUUCGUCUCCGACGGGAUGAUGGCUUGAGAUCAGGAACCGAUCCAUGCGUUAGCUGCAGACACUUGUAAGCUCGAGGUCGGCAUGCAGGGCAGGGCUGCUUACCUUUGGAGCCGAGGGCAUGGAGGACGUCGGCUCGAGCCCGGAGCUGAAGCGCCCGGCCGAAGUAAUUCACCUCGCUGAGGCUGGUACAGUUGCCGAAGGUACACCAGGCGGCCUUCCACACCUGCUUCCCGUUCUGGGCUGGGCAGCUCAAGCUGGGCCAGUAGGCGUACAAGUCGUCCAACAGAUCGACAAGCUGUGGCAUGAGCAGAGUGAUCAGUGUGGGUCGGGAGCAGCGGAGAUCAUCGACUGCAUACAUCUAAUCUGGCCUAUUACCGGGUUUAUCAAGAAGCGGCAGUUGGGUUCGCACUUGGCGACGAGCUUGCCGGUGGCGCUGUCGUAGGUCUCCAUGGUCUCCACCAGGAAGUCUGGCUCGGGGUUGUCGAUGAGCGGGUCAACGCAGCAGGCCGGCUUCCCGGUCCACCCUGGCUGGCAGCUAGUCCCCGGCCACUGCACGAGUCACGAUCCAUUAGACUUCAUUAGCAGUUCACCGCAGGAGUCAUCGUUUGCACAAGAAAGGCUUUCUGUAAAGCCGAAACAAAAGAGAGAGAGAGAGAGAGAGAGAGAGAGAGAGGAAUUAGGUACUAUGAGAGACAGGAUCAUGUAGUCGUAUGAAGCAGCUGCUAGCGCACAAGAGGCGGCACACAAGAGGAAGCAGAACGUGGGAAGAGCCUUUGAGCCAGCCAUUCUGCAGAGGUGGGGAGGAUGAUCGGGGGAGA
RNAcentral lists this long non-coding RNA (11621 nucleotides) under Musa acuminata (dwarf banana). RNAcentral's name for it is "long non-coding RNA (MACU_LNC005041)". The record is from RNAcentral. Lineage: Eukaryota; Viridiplantae; Streptophyta; Magnoliopsida; Zingiberales; Musaceae.